Molecule: ribosomal RNA, 515 nt
Filed under: uncultured bacterium
Lineage: Bacteria
Description: partial 16S ribosomal RNA
Rfam family: Bacterial small subunit ribosomal RNA
Source: RNAcentral
AGUGAACGCUGGCGGUAGGCCUAACACAUGCAAGUCGAGCGAAUGGAUUAAGAGCUUGCUCUUAUGAAGUUAGCGGCGGACGGGUGAGUAACACGUGGGUAACCUGCCCAUAAGACUGGGAUAACUCCGGGAAACCGGGGCUAAUACCGGAUAACAUUUUGAACCGCAUGGUUCGAAAUUGAAAGGCGGCUUCGGCUGUCACUUAUGGAUGGACCCGCGUCGCAUUAGCUAGUUGGUGAGGUAACGGCUCACCAAGGCAACGAUGCGUAGCCGACCUGGGAGGGUGAUCGGCCACACUGGGACUGAGACACGGCCCAGACUCCUACGGGAGGCAGCAGUAGGGAAUCUUCCGCAAUGGACGAAAGUCUGACGGAGCAACGCCGCGUGAGUGAUGAAGGCUUUCGGGUCGUAAAACUCUGUUGUUAGGGAAGAACAAGUGCUAGUUGAAUAAGCUGGCACCUUGACGGUACCUAACCAGAAAGCCACGGCUAACUACGUGCCAGCCGCCGCCGUAA